GCUGAAUCCUUGCAGCCUCUGGACAGAUGUGGGAAGGCACCACCUCAAGAAGGGAGGAGCGGGGCUUGUCCUGGUCGGGCGGACCUGAGUGCGGCGGCCGCUCUCCAGGAACUGGAAGGGAAAGCCAGGUGGCUCUCAGGGGCCAUUGGUGUCUGAGGCGGGCAGGUCGAACGCCCAGGGCACUGCGCCCCGCAACUGCCGCUCCUGCAAGGAAAAACUCUGGGUGCGUAUGCGGCUUGUCACCUCCUGGGUGCGCAGCGUCAGCCCAAAAAUGUCUUCGUGGUAGCGUUGCUGAUCCUGUCGGGAAAGUGCGCAGUGGAUGAGAACCCCAGUCGGAGACCUGAGCGGGAACCCCGCACGCCCUGGGCCUGGUCCCCGCCCUGGCUCGCCCCUCCGCACCCGCAGCACGCCGAUGACAUCGCCGGCCUCAUCCAGCUCCAUGUCGCCCUCCGUCGCCAGGAUGCGCUGCACGGUCUGCAGGACGUUGGUUGCCAUGGUGACAUCGCCGCAGACAAACAUGUGGCCCCGCUCAAGACACAGCACGCGGUGCACCUCCGCAGCCAGCUCGGUCCUUAGGAUGUCCUGCACGUUACCAUUGCGCCCUCAGGGUCUCAUACCUUGGGAUUGUCGGGUUCCCGGGAGAAGGCGGUGAGGACUCGGCCAAACACCCCGCGCUGCUGGGCGUCUUGCACUUCGUCGCGGUAGAGAUGGUCAAGUUGGGAGCAUCGGCAGCCGAACACCAAAGUCAUGGGGGCGGGCUGCAGCCCUGCAAGCAACAGCGGCUUCGGAAGGCCCUUCUCCCAGGCACAGGGCCAGCAGUGCCUCCCCACUGGCCACCAUCGCCCAGCCUGGCAGCCUAGCGUUUUGGGCUGAAGCCACCCUUACUUUGGCUGUUUCAUCUCUAAGAGCGUGCAGAAUGCUUUCACAGAGAUCCUGCACAUGCCUGAUUUACAGAAGGAAGGGAAGCGCAGGUGAAGUGAUUUCCUUCAUGUAGGUGGCCCCUAGUGGAGCUGUGCUAGAAUGUGUGGCUUAGGACUCAGAAUUCUAUGCCCUUUGCAUUGUGUGACAUUGCAGUCCCCUUCCUUGCUCCCACACCAUAUUCUCCCACACCAUAUUCUCCCACACUUUUAAUUCUCCUCCCAGUCACAGCCCUCUUCUUUUGAUUGACAGACUACCCUGGGCACCCCAUGCUCAAUCUGAACACCUUGGAGCAUUCCCUAGGUCUUGGACGGACCCUGGUCAGCUCUGGCACAGUCCAGAAUUCACCUCGGGCAGUUCUUCUUUGAGUCUUAGCCCUAUCCCUUCCAAAAUUCGAUUUUCCUUUGUCCAUAAUCCAGUCAACACCUACUAUGUGCCAGGCACCAGGCAGGCAGACACACAGGGCCCAGCCCUUGCCUCAGUACCUACCCUCCCCUCCAUCUCUUGAGCAUCUUUUCAGCUUCGUGGCCUCCAUUUCCUGCCCUGUCUUUCCUAUCUGUUUCUUGCCUUCCAGCCACACCCCUCUAAGCAGUCCUCUAGUCCCCAGCCUCACCUUUGCUCUCAAUGUCAUGCAGCCGUUCCUGCCAGAAUCCCCGGAAGGGGGCAAUGCCAGUGCCUGGGCCCACCAGGAUGCAGGGCAGGCUGGGAUCGGGCGGCAGCCGGAAGGAGGGAGCCCUAGCAGGAGAGAUACUCCAUCAGGUCCCCUUUGCCUUCCCUGCUCCCCUGUUCUCACCAUGCAGGGCGGGUGGAGCCAGGAGAACCCAAGCUCUCCUGAUAAAUGAGGUGAUAUUUGUGAA
Long non-coding RNA from Cebus imitator (Panamanian white-faced capuchin), 1775 nucleotides. RefSeq lists it as uncharacterized. The record is from RefSeq and is a predicted model, not a curated record. Lineage: Eukaryota; Metazoa; Chordata; Mammalia; Primates; Cebidae. The transcript is spliced from 2 exons.